UAAGGAAUAUUGGUCAAUGGACGCAAGUCUGAGCCAGCCAUGCCGCGUGAAGGAUGAAGGUUCUCUGGAUUGUAAACUUCUUUUAUCUGGGACGAAAACGGGAUUUUUAUCUCAAUUGACGGUACCAGAGGAAUAAGCACCGGCUAACUCCGUGCCAGCAGCCGCGGUAAUACGGAGGGUGCGAGCGUUAUCCGGAUUUACUGGGUUUAAAGGGUGCGUAGGUGGGCUUAUAAGUCAGUGGUGAAAUCUCCGAGCUUAACUUGGAAACUGCCGUUGAUACUAUAGGUCUUGAAUUAUCUGGAGGUCAGCGGAAUACGUCAUGUAGCGGUGAAAUGCUUAGAUAUGACAUAGAACACCAAUUGCGAAGGCAGCUUACUACAUAUAAAUUGACGCUGAGGCACGAAAGCGUGGGGAUCAAACA
Molecule: ribosomal RNA, 421 nt
Filed under: uncultured bacterium
Lineage: Bacteria
Description: bacterial SSU rRNA
Rfam family: Bacterial small subunit ribosomal RNA
Source: RNAcentral